UGCCUUGAUGUGGGGGAUAACCAUUGGAAACGAUGGCUAAUACCGCAUAAUGCCUUCGGGCCAAAGAGGGGGAUCUUCGGACCUCUCGCGUCAAGAUUAGCCCAGGUGGGAUUAGCUAGUUGGUGAGGUAAUGGCUCACCAAGGCGACGAUCCCUAGCUGGUCUGAGAGGAUGAUCAGCCACACUGGAACUGAGACACGGUCCAGACUCCUACGGGAGGCAGCAGUGGGGAAUAUUGCACAAUGGGCGCAAGCCUGAUGCAGCCAUGCCGCGUGUGUGAAGAAGGCCUUCGGGUUGUAAAGCACUUUCAGUCGUGAGGAAGGUGGUGUAGUUAAUAGCUGCAUCAUUUGACGUUAGCGACAGAAGAAGCACCGGCUAACUCCGUGCCAGCAGCCGCGGUAAUACGGAGGGUGCGAGCGUUAAUCGGAAUUACUGGGCGUAAAGCGCAUGCAGGGUGGUUCGUUAAGUCAGAUGUGAAGCCCGGGGCUCANCCUCGGAACU
RNAcentral lists this ribosomal RNA (500 nucleotides) under Vibrio gallicus. Its description in RNAcentral is "bacterial SSU rRNA". It matches the Rfam family "Bacterial small subunit ribosomal RNA", at positions 127 to 622 of the family's 1533-position model. The record is from RNAcentral. Lineage: Bacteria; Pseudomonadati; Pseudomonadota; Gammaproteobacteria; Vibrionales; Vibrionaceae.